GUCGGCGAUCGUCAGACGACUCGUAUCGUCAUCGACAUAGAAAAUUAAAAGAGAACAAUUUAUAAUUUCUAAGCUACAGUCUGCAGUGCAAUCAGGGUUUGGGUGUUUCAGUGUGUGCAAGGUUGUUUCGUGACAUCGCGUACCUCUUUUAAUAUUACGGCAAUUGGUAUUGUAUAGAGCUGGAUAUUUCCAAUGGAUAAAUUAUCGAGUGACAACUUGAAUUCAAGCAUGAACGGCUACUCAGAAAAUAUAUCCACCAACUUGGAAAAUAGCAGAAACUCGCUUCGCCGAAUAGCUCGCCAUGACGACACCGAGUUCUCCCAUCAGAGCAUCCUGAAUGUGAUGGAGAAAUUCGUGAAAACCGUCAACAAGAUGGAUGAGACGAUUUUAGUGCCUUGUCGACUGAUGGAUCAAAAAGUGGGCGACGAACAAGAUCCGGCCUGUCAAAAUCCAAAAACGAAGAGUUCCCAUUCGGUUCAUCAGCUCCUCAGCUCUACGGAUCUCUUCGAAAUCUACAGCAUGCUGAACAACGUCAAGGACGGUCUUCUAUGGGGCCAGACGCAGGAAACAGCUAAAGCCAGUACCAUAACCCCAAUCACCAAAGGCCACAAUCGCAGACCCUCUUCAGUGAGCGUCACUUCAACGAAUUCAUCCACAUCCACUUUGAGUGAUACAGAUUCGGAAUCGGGCAGCAAUGAGAUCGACUCUGGAAUCGAUGAUACCGCCCAGGAGGAAGGAAAAGUGGAAAGGGUCGCCGAAAAUUUUGGAAGACAUCUGAUUGGGCUAACAACAUCUCUCCGUCAGAUGACAGAGGCUGCACAGUACCUGACCUGGCGCUACCAGUACGACAUUGGGGGCCCAGUCUAAUAGUUGAACGUUUGGUUAACCAAAUAGGUCGUUAGACUGACGUUUUAUAUUAAAUAUAUUUUUAGUUAAAGGGUGCGGAGGACGGGGCAUCUUUCUGAUUGAAAGUUUUGACCCAUCUUGACACAAAAAGAGACAAAUAGUGCCGGAUUGAUUCGAUGUUCUAUGAUUAUUUCGAAUCUGGCAUCUUUGUACUAAUUGGGAAAAUGGUAUUCAUGAUAAUAUUGUCACUUAUAUAUUGUCAUUCUGAAUUGAAGUGGUAGUUUAGAAAAAAGGUCUCGAGGGCAAACGAACAUAGUUUACUGAUUUAAUUAUCAGUCAAAAAUAAUGUUGAGACAAUAGGAAAAUCACAGGUCUUCUGUUGUUUCAUCCAAUGUUAAUAUCCAAUUCAGUACUAGAAAAAUUUGCCAUUGAUUUGAGUUCAACACAUUAUAUAGAAUUUUUAGAGAAAACAGUUACAGACAAAAGACUCUAUUUUUAUUUUAUUUUUUUCACUUUUUCUGCUGUUCAGGAACCGUCAACCACAAAUGAAAGCUCAGAAAUAUGUACUGUGGGUGAUAUUUUUCAAUUCAAUCUCAUUUUCCCAAGUUGAAUCUCACUUGAAUGAUUAUCUCAACCAUACUUUUGCAGCUGAAUGAACUUAUCUGAUGGAAAUACUAAUUCCAUUUUCUUCAGAGGUCUUAGAUUUUCCUGCAACUAUCAUCAAAGAAAUUUUUCAAAUAGUACAUUCUGCUGCUCCGCAUCUGUUUGAAAAUCUGUUAAAAUCUGAUAUAAAAUAUUAUCUAAUGAGUUGAAUAACUUCGUGGCGAAAUACAAAAAUGAAAUUCACAUGAGACACUUAUGUGAGAAUAUUAGUUUUGGUAAUAUCUUCAAAAAGUAUAAGGUAGGUAUUUAAUUUUUUUGUGUUAGGAAGGUUACAAGAUAACUCAGAAAGAUAAGUCACUCUUUGAUUUGAAAAGUGAUACCUAUUUAUAUACUAGAUUAUCUAUUUUUGCUCAUAAAUUUAUGAAAUUAUUUAUUUGAAAAUAUCAAGUAUUAUUAAUUCCUACACUUCUAUAUUGUUUUGGUUUAUGAAUAAAGAGGAAGCAAGAUUAUGA
This 1961-nucleotide unclassified non-coding RNA is filed under the name Leptinotarsa decemlineata (Colorado potato beetle). RNAcentral describes it as "mid1-interacting protein 1-like, transcript variant X1". Lineage: Eukaryota; Metazoa; Arthropoda; Insecta; Coleoptera; Chrysomelidae. The record is from RNAcentral.